AUUGAACGCUGGCGGCAUGCCUUACACAUGCAAGUCGAACGGCAGCGGACCUUCGGGUGCCGGCGAGUGGCGGACGGGUGAGUAAUAUAUCGGAACGUACCUUUCAGUGGGGGAUAACGUAGCGAAAGUUACGCUAAUACCGCAUAUUCUGUGAGCCAGGAAAGCAGGGGAUCGCAAGACCUUGCGCUGAUUGAGCGGCCGAUAUCAGAUUAGCUAGUUGGUGAGGUAAAGGCUCACCAAGGCGACGAUCUGUAGCGGGUCUGAGAGGAUGAUCCGCCACACUGGAACUGAGACACGGUCCAGACUCCUACGGGAGGCAGCAGUGGGGAAUUUUGGACAAUGGCGCAAGCCUCGAUCCAGCCAUGCCGCGUGAGUGAAGAAGGCC
This 385-nucleotide ribosomal RNA is filed under the name uncultured bacterium. RNAcentral describes it as "bacterial SSU rRNA". It matches the Rfam family "Bacterial small subunit ribosomal RNA", at positions 30 to 416 of the family's 1533-position model. The record is from RNAcentral.